This 257-nucleotide ribosomal RNA is filed under the name uncultured bacterium. RNAcentral's name for it is "partial 16S ribosomal RNA". It matches the Rfam family "Bacterial small subunit ribosomal RNA", at positions 96 to 354 of the family's 1533-position model. The record is from RNAcentral.
UGGCGGACGGUGAGUAACGCGUGGGUAACCUGCCUUACACAGGGGGAUAACACCUGGAAACAGGUGCUAAUACCGCAUAAGCGCACAGGGCCGCAUGGCCCGGUGUGAAAAACUCCGGUGGUGUAAGAUGGACCCGCGUCUGAUUAGCUUGUUGGCGGGGUAGGGGCCCACCAAGGCGACGAUCAGUAGCCGGCCUGAGAGGGUGGACGGCCACAUUGGGACUGAGACACGGCCCAAACUCCUACGGAAGGCAGCAG